Vitis riparia (riverbank grape) is the source of this 887-nucleotide long non-coding RNA. RefSeq lists it as uncharacterized. The record is from RefSeq and is a predicted model, not a curated record. The transcript has 2 exons. NCBI's taxonomy places the organism in Eukaryota, Viridiplantae, Streptophyta, Magnoliopsida, Vitales, Vitaceae.
CAUCAUCAUCAUCAUCGUGAGGCUCUCCUUCACUGGCCACAUUCAUUUCAGAGUACAUGCUCACUGGGUUUUGGCAUACUUCAUCAGCAAAGGCACUCAAACUCAACUCUGGUUUCUCAGAAUCAUCAACAGAAGCUUGUAGUGGAGCAAAUCACAACUUGAAUCAUCAACAGAAGCUUGUGGUGGAGCAGUAAGGUCCAGUUCCAGAUCAGAUUCCCCGUGCUGCUGCUCAUUCUCCAGUUUCAAACCCUCAUUCCAAUUUUUGGUAUUUGACAUUAUAACUGAAGAAACACCAGCAAAACUAUUCAUCAUCAGAAACCACAAAACUGUAAACAGCCAAGUACAACAGGCCCAGAAGGAAAAGAUUGAAUGUUUGUUUACCUUUUUUUACUGUGCUUUCAUCAUUCAAAUGCACUGAUGUUUUCAGGAUUUCACUCAGAAGUUUAUUUGAUCCAUCCAUUUUCUCACAAUCCACUUCUGAAUUUUUCUGCAGCUCAGCUUCUGCAUAUUGAAGAUGGAAACACAACUGUUAAUCAUCAAUCAAGAUCAAACCAUUUCAAUAUUGGUUUUGAAUUGAGAAAAAUUACUGAGUACUUGCCUGUGUUGUCCUGCUCAUCAUGAGCUUCAUCUUUUUCCUCGGAAACUUCAAGAAAAUCUGAAUUAUUGGGUUUGGCAGAUUCCCCAGUAUUCUCUUCAACUUCAGCUUUUGAAUCAUUUCCACUCAGGACAGACUUUGAAAUGACCUCUGAAUCAUCGGUUAUCUUUGAAUUAUCUUCUGAUAUUGUCUGCGAAUCAGCUCCUGCAUAGUGAUCAAUGUUAGAAGACAACGAAAUCUUAAAUCGUAGCAUGUUUAUUUAGCUCCUGAGAAAAUGUGGUUAAUGCUAGAA